GACGAACGCUGGCGGCGUGCCUAAUACAUGCAAGUUGAGCGCUGAAGGUUGGUACUUGUACCAACUGGAUGAGCAGCGAACGGGUGAGUAACGCGUGGGGAAUCUGCCUUUGAGCGGGGGACAACAUUUGGAAACGAAUGCUAAUACCGCAUAAAAACUUUAAACACAAGUUUUAAGUUUGAAAGAUGCAAUUGCAUCACUCAAAGAUGAUCCCGCGUUGUAUUAGCUAGUUGGUGAGGUAAAGGCUCACCAAGGCGAUGAUACAUAGCCGACCUGAGAGGGUGAUCGGCCACAUGGGGACUGAGACACGGCCCAAACUCCUACGGGAGGCAGCAGUAGGGAAUCUUCGGCAAUGGACGAAAGUCUGACCGAGCAACGCCGCGUGAGUGAAGAAGGUGUUCGGAUCGUAAAACUCUGUUGGUAGAGAAGAACGUUGGUGAGAGUGGAAAGCGCAUCAAGGGACGGUAACUACCCAGAAAGGGACGGCUAACUACGU
Molecule: ribosomal RNA, 496 nt
Filed under: uncultured bacterium
Lineage: Bacteria
Description: partial 16S ribosomal RNA
Rfam family: Bacterial small subunit ribosomal RNA
Source: RNAcentral